RNAcentral lists this ribosomal RNA (409 nucleotides) under bacterium. Its description in RNAcentral is "partial 16S ribosomal RNA". It matches the Rfam family "Bacterial small subunit ribosomal RNA", at positions 355 to 776 of the family's 1533-position model. The record is from RNAcentral.
UGGGGAAUAUUGCACAAUGGGCGAAAGCCUGAUGCAGCGACGCCGCGUGAGGGAUGACGGCCUUCGGGUUGUAAACCUCUUUCAGUAGGGACGAAGCGCAAGUGACGGUACCUGCAGAAGAAGCACCGGCUAACUACGUGCCAGCAGCCGCGGUAAUACGUAGGGUGCGAGCGUUGUCCGGAAUUACUGGGCGUAAAGAGCUCGUAGGCGGUUUGUCACGUCUGCGGUGAAAUCCUAGGGCUUAACCCUGGACGUGCAGGCGAUACGGGCUGACUUGAGUACUACAAGGGAGACUGGAAUUUCUGGUGUAGCGGUGGAAUGCACAGAUAUCAGGAAGAACACCGAUGGCGAAGGCAGGUCUCUGGGUAGUAACUGACGCUGAGGAGCGAAAGCAUGGGUAGCGAACAGG